CCGUGCUAGAUGGGGAACCAGCGAUGCCCUGUAACCUGCGAUCGCUACAGCAGGGUCGAAUUCCCGGCAGAGGCCGUAUGAUUUAUGCUGCACUCAGGAAGUGGUGUUGAGAUCUUGGUCCCACGCAACAUAUGCCGGUGAACCUCGUCAGGACCGGAAGGUAGCAGCGAUAAAUCGGAAUGUUAUGUGUGCCGUGGCAAACCUGGGUUGAGCUAACCCUGGGCGACAAUGAAUCGUAUUGGUCGAAGCCGGGUGCACGG
This 260-nucleotide signal recognition particle RNA is filed under the name Clostridiaceae bacterium. RNAcentral's name for it is "signal recognition particle sRNA large type". It matches the Rfam family "Bacterial large signal recognition particle RNA". Rfam says of the family: The signal recognition particle (SRP) is a universally conserved ribonucleoprotein involved in the co-translational targeting of proteins to membranes. Archaeal SRP consists of a 7S RNA and homologues of the eukaryotic SRP19 and SRP54 proteins. The record is from RNAcentral. Lineage: Bacteria; Bacillati; Bacillota; Clostridia; Eubacteriales; Clostridiaceae. RNAcentral also lists the same sequence under 2 other names.